AUCUGCUUCACUAAAAUCUAUUAUUUUAAUACAUAACAUUUGAAGAGGUAAAUAGAAUGGCAGAUCAUGCACUUCGAUUUGUGACCAACUUCAUACAUAACCCCCUAAUCUUAUAGAUUACAAGCUGAUAGUACUCUGUAGUAAAGCACAUUUCAUUAGAGAAAGUUCGCAGGAUUCAUGGGAAGCAAUUCCAUUCUUCUAGCCGCCGACGCGUUUUCUUGAUCGUUUUCCA
Ipomoea nil (Japanese morning glory) is the source of this 232-nucleotide long non-coding RNA. RefSeq lists it as uncharacterized. NCBI's taxonomy places the organism in Eukaryota, Viridiplantae, Streptophyta, Magnoliopsida, Solanales, Convolvulaceae. The transcript has 3 exons. The record is from RefSeq and is a predicted model, not a curated record.